UACGUAGGCAGCGAGCGUUGUUCGGAGUUACUGGGCGUAAAGCGUGCGUAGGCGGUUUUGUAAGUUUGGUGUGAAAUCUCCCGGCUCAACUGGGAGGGUGCGCCGAAAACUGCAAGGCUGGAGUGUGGGAGAGGUAGGCGGAAUUCCUGGUGUAGCGGUGAAAUGCGUAGAUAUCAGGAGGAACACCUGUGGUGUAGACGGCUUACUGGACCAUGACUGACGCCGAGGCACGAAAGCGUGGGGAGCAAACAGG
This 253-nucleotide ribosomal RNA is filed under the name uncultured bacterium. RNAcentral's name for it is "partial 16S ribosomal RNA". It matches the Rfam family "Bacterial small subunit ribosomal RNA", at positions 524 to 776 of the family's 1533-position model. The record is from RNAcentral.